AAUGAACGCUGGCGGCAGGCCUAACACAUGCAAGUCGAACGCUGUAGCAAUACAGAGUGGCAGACGGGUGAGUAACGCGUGGGAACCUUCCCAAUGGUACGGAAUAGCCCAGGGAAACUUGGGGUAAUACCGUAUACGCCCCUAGGGGGAAAGAUUUAUCGCCAUUGGAUGGGCCCGCGUCGGAUUAGCUAGUUGGUGAGGUAAUGGCUCACCAAGGCAACGAUCCGUAGCUGGUUUGAGAGAAUGACCAGCCACACUGGGACUGAGACACGGCCCAGACGCCUACGGGAGGCAGCAGUGGGGAAUCUUGGACAAGGGGCGCAAGCCUGAUCCAGCCAUGCCGCGUGAGUGACGAAGGCCUUAGGGUUGUAAAGCUCUUUUGCCGGGGACGAUAAUGACGGUACCCGGAGAAUAAGUCCCGGCUAACUUCGUGCCAGCCGCCGCCGUAA
This 449-nucleotide ribosomal RNA is filed under the name uncultured bacterium. RNAcentral's name for it is "partial 16S ribosomal RNA". It matches the Rfam family "Bacterial small subunit ribosomal RNA", at positions 29 to 523 of the family's 1533-position model. The record is from RNAcentral.